GCUGGCUGCUAGCUCUCUGCAACUCUCACAUGGUCGCCCCACUGAAGCUAAGCAGGGCUGCUUCCGGUCAGUACCUGGAUGGGAGACCACAUGCAAAAUCUUGGUUGCUGCUGGAA
Molecule: ribosomal RNA, 116 nt
Filed under: Danio rerio (zebrafish)
Lineage: Eukaryota; Metazoa; Chordata; Actinopteri; Cypriniformes; Danionidae
Source: RNAcentral